RNAcentral lists this ribosomal RNA (465 nucleotides) under uncultured bacterium. Its description in RNAcentral is "partial 16S ribosomal RNA". It matches the Rfam family "Bacterial small subunit ribosomal RNA", at positions 338 to 795 of the family's 1533-position model. The record is from RNAcentral.
CCUACGGGAGGCAGCAGUAGGGAAUCUUCCACAAUGGGCGAAAGCCUGAUGGAGCAACGCCGCGUGUAUGAAGAAGGUCUUCGGAUCGUAAAACCCUGUUGUUGGAGAAGAAAGUGCGUGAGAGUAACUGUUCACGUUUCGACGGUAUCUAACCAGAAAGCCACGGCUAACUACGUGCCAGCAGCCGCGGUAAUACGUAGGUGGCAAGCGUUAUCCGGAUUUAUUGGGCGUAAAGGGAACGCAGGCGGUCUUUUAAGUCUGAUGUGAAAGCCUUCGGCUUAACCGGAGUAGUGCAUUGGAAACUGGGAGACGUGAGUGUAGAAGAGGAGAGUGGAACUCCAGGUGUAGCGGUGAAAUGCGUAGAUAUAUGGAAGAACACCAGUGGCGAAAGCGGCUCUCUGGUCUGUAACUGACGCUGAGGUUCGAAAGCGUGGGUAGCAAACAGGAUUAGAUACCCGAGUAGUC